This 607-nucleotide long non-coding RNA is filed under the name Manihot esculenta (cassava). RNAcentral describes it as "long non-coding RNA (MESC_LNC002858)". The record is from RNAcentral. Lineage: Eukaryota; Viridiplantae; Streptophyta; Magnoliopsida; Malpighiales; Euphorbiaceae.
UAUUGUGCACAAUCCUCUGAAAUGAUGGCUCUUUGACUCGCAAACCCUAGCCUCAAUGGGCAGCACCAUCUCCUCUUCACGCAGGGCAUGCGUAACAAACACAUUAAAUAGAAAUUUCUGUAUCAAUCUCUUAAAGGAGACAUAAAGCCGUAACUAGAAUUAUUUUCACUUGUCAAAGGUUAUUUCAAAAGACUUGUAUUAAGUUAUUAAAACCAAAACUUUUUUGUUAUGUACGAGAUAUAGAUUUGGUUUAAAAGAAAGAGAAAGAGAUAUAAUGUAGCUUACGAGAAGCCAAGACGAUGAACAGCAACAAUAAGAGCCCAAAAGAUCCCUUCUCCAUAUGUGUUAUUUUGCAGCCUAGCUUUCUGGUGAUAAUACUUCGGAAAUGGAACAAGUUCUCCGUUCUUUCAUCUGCGCAAAUAUAUAGCUGCCAUAUACUGAUAUUUGGAGCAGAAAGAGAUUGUUGGAAAUUCGAAUAUUUUCACAUGAAAUGAGCAAAACCAUGCUCCUUCACAUGCUACCUUACACAUUUGUUUGUUCUAUUGUAGCGUGAAUAGCAUCGAUCUUUGUUCAAGGAGUGUGAAUCUCGGUACGCAUUCGUCCAACA